GUUCACGCGAUGGCGCGAUCAUGGAGUGAUCGAGGGGUCAAAUGCGACUCCUCGAGAUGGUGAGCAC
RNAcentral lists this small RNA (67 nucleotides) under Sinorhizobium meliloti 2011. RNAcentral's name for it is "putative ncRNA". Lineage: Bacteria; Pseudomonadati; Pseudomonadota; Alphaproteobacteria; Hyphomicrobiales; Rhizobiaceae. The record is from RNAcentral.